RNAcentral lists this ribosomal RNA (253 nucleotides) under uncultured bacterium. RNAcentral describes it as "partial 16S ribosomal RNA". It matches the Rfam family "Bacterial small subunit ribosomal RNA", at positions 524 to 776 of the family's 1533-position model. The record is from RNAcentral.
UACGAAGGGUGCAAGCGUUACUCGGAAUUACUGGGCGUAAAGCGUGCGUAGGUGGUGAGUUAAGUCUGUCGUGAAAGCCCCGGGCUCAACCUGGGAAUGGCGAUGGAUACUGGCUCGCUAGAGUGCGGUAGAGGAGAGUGGAAUUCCCGGUGUAGCAGUGAAAUGCGUAGAUAUCUGGAGGAACACCGGUGGCGAGGGCGGCAUCCUGGACCAACACUGACGCUGAGGAGCGAAAGCCAGGGGAGCAAACGGG